RNAcentral lists this ribosomal RNA (891 nucleotides) under uncultured bacterium. RNAcentral's name for it is "bacterial SSU rRNA". It matches the Rfam family "Bacterial small subunit ribosomal RNA", at positions 1 to 879 of the family's 1533-position model. The record is from RNAcentral.
UAGAGUUUGAUCCUGGCUCAGAUUGAACGCUGGCGGCAGGCCUAACACAUGCAAGUCGAGCGGUAGCGGGCCUGACCGCUCUCGAGUGGUUCAGGUGCCGACGAGCGGCGGACGGGUGCGUAACACGUAGGAAUCUGCCCGGUAGUGGGGGAUAGCCCGGAGAAAUUCGGAUUAAUACCGCAUACGCCCUAUGGGGGAAAGCAGGGGAUCUUCGGACCUUGCGCUAUCGGAUGAGCCUGCGUCGGAUUAGCUGGUUGGUGGGGUAAAGGCCUACCAAGGCGACGAUCCGUAGCUGGUCUGAGAGGAUGAUCAGCCACACUGGGACUGAGACACGGCCCAGACUCCUACGGGAGGCAGCAGUGGGGAAUAUUGCACAAUGGGCGAAAGCCUGAUGCAGCCAUGCCGCGUGUGUGAAGAAGGCCCUAGGGUUGUAAAGCACUUUCAGUGGGGAGGAAAGGUCGAAGGUUAAUACCCUUUGGCUGUGACGUUACCCACAGAAGAAGCACCGGCUAACUCCGUGCCAGCAGCCGCGGUAAUACGGAGGGUGCGAGCGUUAAUCGGAAUUACUGGGCGUAAAGCGUGCGUAGGCGGCCAUUUAAGUUGGAUGUGAAAGCCCCGGGCUCAACCUGGGAACUGCAUCCAAAACUGGGUGGCUUGAGUGCGAGAGAGGAGUGUGGAAUUUCCUGUGUAGCGGUGAAAUGCGUAGAUAUAGGAAGGAACACCAGUGGCGAAAGCGACACUCUGGCUUGACACUGACGCUGAGGUACGAAAGCGUGGGGAGCAAACAGGAUUAGAUACCCUGGUAGUCCACGCCGUAAACGAUGUCUACUAGUUGUCGGUGGUCUUGUACUGCUGGUAACGCAGCUACGCGAUAAGUAGACCGCCUGGGGA